Molecule: non-coding RNA, 708 nt
Filed under: Onchidella celtica (Celtic sea slug)
Lineage: Eukaryota; Metazoa; Mollusca; Gastropoda; Systellommatophora; Onchidiidae
Description: small subunit ribosomal RNA
Rfam family: Microsporidia small subunit ribosomal RNA
Source: RNAcentral
CACUUUGCUCUGAUGUAAAAUUUACUUUUUCUACACUAUGAUAUGGAGGUUAACGCGUAACCAGCAAGAAAUAUUGGACAAUUUUGGAAACAAAAAUCCAGAUAAGAAAUUAUCUGAGGCCAACUCAGGUGCCAGCAGCCGCGGCCAUACCUGGUCAGAAAGUAAACUACAUGUGGGCAUCUUGAGCAGACACACAAAGAAUUCAGUAGUGAAAUGCAUUUUCUUUUAUACCCUAAAAAGCGUUAUUCUAACUAAACCCCAUAAGUAAACUAGGAUUAGAUACCCUACUAUACAGGAGCCGAACCUAAGUUUUGCCGAAGCAGUAAAAUCUUCUGAUCAAAACUUAAAGAGCAUGGCGGCCCCGAAAAUUAUCAGGGGAACUUACCGAGUAAUAGACAACCCCCUAGGGUCCCCCCUCUUAACUCAAAGCUUGUAUACCGCCGUCUUCAGGCCUAUCUUUAGGAGGGGCCUAAAUUAUCAUAAGACAGGUCAUGGUGCAGCCUAUGUAAGAGAUCAGGCGAGUUACAUUAACAGUUUGACUUACGGAUUUUCAGAGGAAUCACUGAGAAAAAGCUGGACUUGAAAGUAAUGAUUAUAACAGUACAAUUAAAUUUUGAAUGCUUAUUUCGAGGUGUACAAAUCGCCCGUCACUCUCGUUGAAAAAUGAGAUAAGUCGUAACACAGUAGGGGCAGCUGAAGCUGCCCCUA